GGGCACUUGGUCUAGGGGUAUGAUUGUAAGAACAACCCCCAUAAAUCUCCUCACAACCCCUCCUAACAUGCCUUAGUUCGCUUCGCACACAACUACACGUGAGUUUGUGAAAGGUCGUGGGUUCAAUUCCCACAGUGUCCA
This is a non-coding RNA of Cucurbitaria berberidis CBS 394.84, 141 nucleotides long. Lineage: Eukaryota; Fungi; Ascomycota; Dothideomycetes; Pleosporales; Cucurbitariaceae. The record is from the annotation of a RefSeq genome assembly.